UACAGAGGGUGCAAGCGUUAAUCGGAAUUACUGGGCGUAAAGCGCACGUAGGUGGUUUAAUAAGUUUGAUGUGAAAGCCCCGGGCUUAACCUGGGAACGGCGUUGAAGACUGUUAAACUUGAGUCGGACAGAGGGUUGUGGAAUUUCCGGUGUAGCGGUGAAAUGCGUAGAGAUCGGAAAGAACACCAGUGGCGAAGGCGACAGCCUGGGUCCAGACUGACACUGAGGGGCGAAAGCGUGGGGAGCAAACAGG
RNAcentral lists this ribosomal RNA (253 nucleotides) under uncultured bacterium. RNAcentral's name for it is "partial 16S ribosomal RNA". It matches the Rfam family "Bacterial small subunit ribosomal RNA", at positions 524 to 776 of the family's 1533-position model. The record is from RNAcentral.